UUUGCCUCUUGUUAAUUUGGGUUGUCUUCUUAGUAUGUGGUUGCAGGAGUUAUUUUUGGUGAUGGUCAGUCUGGUCAACCACAAGGGAGACACAGAGGAGGCAAAGGAAAAAACAAGUUUCUUAUACUCAAGGUCCUAGAGGGACAGAGUCACUGCAUGCUGACAGGGAGUGAUGUGGAAAAGAGCACCAAGGAAAAAGGCUCAGCCAAGCAAGUGGGGAGCAGAGAGCGGGCAAACACCAGAAGCCAUAGGUUAAGACAUGAGGACUUCUACUGAAACUUCUCUAAAUAUGGAACCAAGACUUCAUCUGAGUUUGAGAUUAAGAGAAGAAAUUAUCACAGCUCCAUGAGGAAGAAAAAAUAAUCUGUGACUUCUGUACCUUCUUCAUGACCACCGGGCAAGACUGACUCUCUGACCAGUGCAC
RNAcentral lists this long non-coding RNA (424 nucleotides) under Homo sapiens (human). Its description in RNAcentral is "HSALNT0296038". Lineage: Eukaryota; Metazoa; Chordata; Mammalia; Primates; Hominidae. The record is from RNAcentral.